CCCUUAGAUGUUCUGAACCGCACGCGUGUUACACUGAUGCAUUCAACGAGCUUUACCUUGGCCGAGAGGCCUGGGAAAUCUUUUUAGCAUGCAUCGUGAUAGGGAUUGAUUAUUGCAAUUAUUAAUCAUGAACGAGGAAUUCCUAGUAAACGCAUUUCAUCAAAAUGCAUUGAUUACGUCCCUGCCCUUUGUACACACCGCCCGUCGCACCUACCGAUUGAGUGGUCCGGUGAAGUCUCGAGAUUGUGGCAAUCUCCUUUAUUGGAGUUUGACUGCGAGAACUUGCCUAAACCUUAUCUCUUAGAGGAAGGUGAAGUCGUAACA
RNAcentral lists this ribosomal RNA (324 nucleotides) under uncultured eukaryote. RNAcentral describes it as "partial 18S ribosomal RNA". It matches the Rfam family "Eukaryotic small subunit ribosomal RNA", at positions 1470 to 1796 of the family's 1831-position model. The record is from RNAcentral.